Molecule: ribosomal RNA, 482 nt
Filed under: uncultured bacterium
Lineage: Bacteria
Description: partial 16S ribosomal RNA
Rfam family: Bacterial small subunit ribosomal RNA
Source: RNAcentral
AUUGAACGCUGGCGGCAUGCUUUACACAUGCAAGUCGAACGGUAACAGCACUUCGGUGGCUGACGAGUGGCGAACGGGUGAGUAAUACAUCGGAACGUGCCUAGUAGUGGGGGAUAACUACUCGAAAGAGUAGCUAAUACCGCAUGAGAUCUAAGGAUGAAAGCAGGGGACCUUCGGGCCUUGCGCUACUAGAGCGGCUGAUGGCAGAUUAGGUAGUUGGUGGGAUAAAAGCUUACCAAGCCGACGAUCUGUAGCUGGUCUGAGAGGACGACCAGCCACACUGGGACUGAGACACGGCCCAGACUCCUACGGGAGGCAGCAGUGGGGAAUUUUGGACAAUGGGCGCAAGCCUUAUCCAGCAAUGCCGCGUGCAGGAUGAAGGCCUUCGGGUUGUAAACUGCUUUUGUACGGAACGAAAAGCCCUCUUCUAAUACAGGAGGGUCAUGACGGUACCGGAAGAAUAAGCACCGGCUAACUACGUG